This 253-nucleotide ribosomal RNA is filed under the name uncultured bacterium. RNAcentral describes it as "partial 16S ribosomal RNA". It matches the Rfam family "Bacterial small subunit ribosomal RNA", at positions 524 to 776 of the family's 1533-position model. The record is from RNAcentral.
UACGUAGGGCGCGAGCGUUGUCCGGAAUUAUUGGGCGUAAAGAGCUCGUAGGCGGCCAGUUGCGUCCGCUGUGAAAACCCGGGGCUCAACCCCGGGCUUGCAGUGGAUACGGGCUGGCUAGAGGCAGGCAGGGGAGAACGGAAUUCCCGGUGUAGCGGUGAAAUGCGCAGAUAUCGGGAGGAACACCGGUGGCGAAGGCGGUUCUCUGGGCCUGUACUGACGCUGAGGAGCGAAAGCGUGGGGAGCGAACAGG